GAUGAACGCUGGCGGCGUGCUUAACACAUGCAAGUCGAACGUGAGAAUAGCAAUAUUUGAAAGUGGCAAACGGGUGAGUAACACGUGGGAACCUGCCUCGAAGUGGGGGAUAACGAUUGGAAACGGUCGCUAAUACCGCACGGUUCUGCUCUGAUGGGAAUGGAGCAGAUAAAGAUUUAUCGCUUUGAGAGGGGCCCGCGGCCGAUUAGCUAGUUGGUAAGGUAAAGGCUUACCAAGGCGAUUAUCGGUAGCUGGUCUGAGAGGACGAUCAGCCACACGGGAACUGAGACACGGUCCCGACUCCUACGGGGGGCGAGCAGUGAGGAAUAUUGGGCAAUGGGCGAAAGCCUGACCCAGCAACGCCGCGUGGAGGAUGAAGGCUUUAGGGUUGUAAAGUUCUUUCAGUAGGGAAGAUAAUGACGGUACCUACAAAAGAAGCUCCGGCUAACUUCGUG
Molecule: ribosomal RNA, 455 nt
Filed under: uncultured bacterium
Lineage: Bacteria
Description: bacterial SSU rRNA
Rfam family: Bacterial small subunit ribosomal RNA
Source: RNAcentral